AGAUUAGAGUUUGAUCAUGGCUCAGAACGAACGCUGGCGGCAUGCCUAACACAUGCAAGUCGAACGAAGGCCCUAGCUUGCUAGGUGUCCUUAGUGGCGAACGGGUGAGUAACGCGUGGGAAUCUGCCAUAGAGUGGGGAACAACUUUUGGAAACGAAAGCUAAUACCGCAUACGCCCUCCGGGGGAAAGGCUUCGGCCGCUCUUUGAUGAUCCCGCGUCUGAUUAGCUUGUUGGUAGGGUAACGGCUUACCAAGGCGACGAUCAGUAGCUGGUCUGAGAGGAUGAUCAGCCACACUGGGACUGAGACACGGCCCAGACUCCUACGGGAGGCAGCAGUGGGGAAUAUUGGACAAUGGGGGAAACCCUGAUCCAGCAAUGCCGCGUGAGUGAAGAAGGCCUUAGGGUUGUAAAACUCUUUCGCCGGUGAAGAUGAUGACUGUAGCCGGUAAAGAAGCCCCGGCUAACUCCGUGCCAGCAGCCGCGGUAAUACGGAGGGGGCUAGCGUUGUUCGGAUUUACUGGGCGUAAAGCGCACGUAGGCGGCAUAUUAAGUUAGAGGUGAAAGGCCUGGGCUCAACCUAGGAACUGCCUUUAAUACUGGUAUGCUUGAGUUCGGAAGAGGGUAGUGGAAUUCCAAGUGUAGAGGUGAAAUUCGUAGAUAUUUGGAAGAAC
Molecule: ribosomal RNA, 672 nt
Filed under: uncultured bacterium
Lineage: Bacteria
Description: bacterial SSU rRNA
Rfam family: Bacterial small subunit ribosomal RNA
Source: RNAcentral